GCUGAAGUGGUGAAACUGGUAGACACGCUGGCUUGAGGGGUCAGUGAGGGUAUUCCUUGUGCGGGUUCAAAUCCCGCCUUCAGCA
Molecule: transfer RNA, 85 nt
Filed under: Fidelibacterota bacterium
Lineage: Bacteria; Pseudomonadati; Fidelibacterota
Description: tRNA-Leu
Rfam family: tRNA
About the family: Transfer RNA (tRNA) molecules are approximately 80 nucleotides in length. Their secondary structure includes four short double-helical elements and three loops (D, anti-codon, and T loops).
Source: RNAcentral